GGAUGUGAGGGGGAUCUAGUUGCAAUAUCUGUCACCCCACUGGUGGAUAGGGUUGAUUUGGCUGGUGUGGCUAGCUAGGCAGGUGUCUGUUUCCUCCCUUACCACUCCAUGUUCGUCUCUCCCACAGCGGAAGAGGCCAACCUGCUCUAAGAGAAGAAAUGUACAGGUCAAGGGUAUACAGUAGCUGGGAAGCCCUGCUAGGUCCUCCAGAUAAGUCAUGCAUGACCUGUCCUCUUUCCCAUGGAGCUAGUCUGUCACCUUCCCACCCAAGAUGAGGUGGAGAAACAGUAUCUACAUCUACUAGCUU
RNAcentral lists this small nuclear RNA (307 nucleotides) under Salvator merianae (Argentine black and white tegu). Its description in RNAcentral is "7SK RNA (ENSSMRG00000015660.1)". It matches the Rfam family "7SK RNA". From Rfam's summary of the family: 7SK was discovered as an abundant small nuclear RNA in the mid-70s but a possible function has only recently been suggested. Two independent studies have found that 7SK RNA binds the CDK9/cyclin T complex (known as elongation factor P-TEFb). P-TEFb activates transcription by phosphorylating the C-terminal domain of RNA polymerase II. Lineage: Eukaryota; Metazoa; Chordata; Lepidosauria; Squamata; Teiidae. The record is from RNAcentral.